UGCCGAAAGUCUAUAGCGGAAGUCACGUGGCGCGCUGCGCAAGCGCACAAGCGUACUUCAGCGAAGCAUUCCUGCAGCCUCCACUGCAGUAGUAUGCACACCGCGUGUGCGCACACUUAAGGGUAUAGAUUUCUUAAAGUGACAGUCACCUCCAUUAAUCCGCAUGAAC
Bufo bufo (common toad) is the source of this 169-nucleotide long non-coding RNA. RefSeq lists it as uncharacterized. The record is from RefSeq and is a predicted model, not a curated record. NCBI's taxonomy places the organism in Eukaryota, Metazoa, Chordata, Amphibia, Anura, Bufonidae. The transcript is spliced from 3 exons.